CCUACGGGUGGCAGCAGUGGGGAAUAUUGCACAAUGGGGGAAACCCUGAUGCAGCGACGCCGCGUGGGCGACGAAGCGCUCCGGCGCGUAAAGCCCUGUCAGCAGGGAAGAACAAAGACAGUACCUGACCAAGAAGCCCCGGCUAACUACGUGCCAGCAGCCGCGGUAAUACGUAGGGGGCAAGCGUUAUCCGGAUUCACUGGGCGUAAAGGGAGCGCAGGCGGCACGGCAAGUCUGGUGUGAAAGCCCGGGGCCCAACCCCGGGACUGCAUUGGAAACUGCCGGGCUGGAGUGCCGGAGGGGUAAGCGGAAUUCCUGGUGUAGCGGUGAAAUGCGCAGAUAUCAGGAAGAACACCGGUGGCGUAGGCGGCUUACUGGACGGCAACUGACGCUGAGGCUCGAAAGCGUGGGGAGCAAACAGGAUUAGAUACC
RNAcentral lists this ribosomal RNA (432 nucleotides) under uncultured bacterium. Its description in RNAcentral is "bacterial SSU rRNA". It matches the Rfam family "Bacterial small subunit ribosomal RNA", at positions 338 to 786 of the family's 1533-position model. The record is from RNAcentral.